GCCAACGUGACGUAGUGGUUUGAGCAUUGAACUAUGACUCUGGAGACCAGGGUUCGAUUCCCAGCAUGGCCA
This 72-nucleotide transfer RNA is filed under the name Phrynosoma platyrhinos (Desert horned lizard). Its description in RNAcentral is "tRNA-OTHER". The record is from RNAcentral. Lineage: Eukaryota; Metazoa; Chordata; Lepidosauria; Squamata; Phrynosomatidae.